UGCUUAACACAUGCAAGUCGAACGGAAAGGCUCCAGCUUGCUGGGGUGCUCGAGUGGCGAACGGGUGAGUAACACGUAAGUGAUCUGCCCUGCACUGGGGGAUAAGCUUGGGAAACUGGGUCUAAUACCCUAUAGGACCGCAUCGUGGUUGGUGUGGUGGAAAGGUUUUUCUGGUGUGGGAUGAGCUUGCGGCCUAUCAGCUUGUUGGUGGGGUAAUGGCCUACCAAGGCGGCGACGGGUAGCCGGCCUGAGAGGGUGUGCGGCCACAUUGGGACUGAGAUACGGCCCAGACUCCUACGGGAGGCAGCAGUGGGGAAUUUUGCACAAUGGGCGGAAGCCUGAUGCAGCGACGCCGUGUGGGGGAUGAAGGCCUUCGGGUUGUAAACUCCUUUCGUCAGGGACGAAGUUUUUUUGACGGUACCUGGAUAAGAAGCACCGGCUAACUACGUGCCAGCAGCCGCGGUAAUACGUAGGGUGCGAGCGUUGUCCGGAUUUACUGGGCGUAAAGGGCUCGUAGGUGGUGUGUCGCGUCGUCUGUGUAAUCCAGGGGCUUAACUUUUGGUUGGCAGGCGAUACGGGCAUUGCUUGAGUGCUGUAGGGGA
Molecule: ribosomal RNA, 602 nt
Filed under: uncultured Actinomycetales bacterium
Lineage: Bacteria; Bacillati; Actinomycetota; Actinomycetes; Actinomycetales
Description: bacterial SSU rRNA
Rfam family: Bacterial small subunit ribosomal RNA
Source: RNAcentral